GGGGCUGUGGCUCAGUGGUAGAGCACUCACCUGGCCCGUGUGAGGCACUGGGUUUGAUCCUCAGCAUCACA
RNAcentral lists this transfer RNA (71 nucleotides) under Marmota monax (woodchuck). RNAcentral's name for it is "tRNA.Ala". The stretch from base 6 to 66 matches the Rfam family "tRNA", at positions 6 to 65 of the family's 71-position model. From Rfam's summary of the family: Transfer RNA (tRNA) molecules are approximately 80 nucleotides in length. Their secondary structure includes four short double-helical elements and three loops (D, anti-codon, and T loops). Further hydrogen bonds mediate the characteristic L-shaped molecular structure. tRNAs have two regions of fundamental functional importance: the anti-codon, which is responsible for specific mRNA codon recognition, and the 3' end, to which the tRNAs corresponding amino acid is attached (by aminoacyl-tRNA synthetases). tRNAs cope with the degeneracy of the genetic code in two manners: having more than one tRNA (with a specific anti-codon) for a particular amino acid; and 'wobble' base-pairing, i.e. permitting non-standard base-pairing at the 3rd anti-codon position. Lineage: Eukaryota; Metazoa; Chordata; Mammalia; Rodentia; Sciuridae. The record is from RNAcentral.